Molecule: long non-coding RNA, 438 nt
Organism: Panthera uncia (snow leopard)
Lineage: Eukaryota; Metazoa; Chordata; Mammalia; Carnivora; Felidae
Exons: 3
Source: RefSeq, a predicted model, not a curated record
UCUCCGGGUGCAGUCGUGCCUGCGGCCCCACCUACCGCCCUGCGGCAGCCGGUCCCGCUACAAUCUCAGAUGCCUUUGGCCUCUAGCUUCCUGGCUGAGAGGAUCGGCAGUCGGAGCACCAGGUCCUUGUAUACAGCCCGCUGGACAGAGUUGCUCGUGACGACCCUUUACUGGUGGUGCGGCAGCUGCAGGACUUCUCAGGCCCACAGGCCACAGUGAAUGAGGGCAGGGCAAUGGCCCAGCUCCAGCCUUUCCUCAGGGCAGACAUAUUUUCAAGUGAAGCAUUUUGAAAUUUAAAACAAUGAGUUCAGGUGUUAAUCUGAAAGAAAAACAAAAAGAAAGAAGCAAAAGACAACAACAACAACAACAACAAACAACAACCCACACUAUGUGGCAGACAAGCUCUAUGGGGAAUCAAGUGGAAGCCAAAGGUAGGUA